AUGCUUGGUGCACUCUUUCCUUUGGGAACUGACAAAGGUAUCAACUUUCUUAUAUUUUCCACCUAGGUAGUCCAGGCCCAGCUGGUGUAAAAGGAAGAAAGGGGGAUCAUGGCAGUCCUGGUCCAAAAGGGGCAGCAGGGGCCAAAGGAGCCAAAGGAGAUACUGGACUUAUUGGUCCCCCAGGAGCGAGCGGGAGCAAAGGCGAAAAGGGAGAAGGCUAUCGCAGUCAUUUUAUACGAAUCGCUGGAGGGGGCAGGAGGGGUCGUGUGGAAAUCCUUUACGAGGGCAUCUGGGGAACAAUAUGUGACGACAGCUGGGACACACAAGAUGGCACCGUGGUCUGCCGUAUGUUGGGAUACAGUCGCGCAGUCAGCACCUUCACAGCCAGCGCAGGCACUGGACAAAUUUGGCUUGAUGAUGUGA
RNAcentral lists this long non-coding RNA (423 nucleotides) under Apteryx rowi (Okarito brown kiwi). Its description in RNAcentral is "lncRNA (ENSARWG00000002777.1)". Lineage: Eukaryota; Metazoa; Chordata; Aves; Apterygiformes; Apterygidae. The record is from RNAcentral.